CACCGCACGACGACACCCACCUCCGCCAAAUCUCAACCACCGGCAAACCCGCGCCUGCGCCGCCCUGACAUCGGUGCCCAAUGACCGCCGGUGUCAUCCCCGAAGUCCUGCUCCACCGCCCUCGUCGCUCAAUCGCCGCCCCGGCAGAGCACUCCAUCGCUUCUUCCCCGACCUUCGCGCCGCUCCCCCUUCUCACUUCCGCGCCGCUAUAAAAUGGAAUGCCGAAGCCCCGCCGGAGUUCCCCUUUGCCAUCGCUGCCCUCUCUCUUACUCGUUGUUCGUGCUCACAGCGCCACCACCGAAGUCUGACGAACUCUCC
Molecule: long non-coding RNA, 318 nt
Filed under: Setaria viridis
Lineage: Eukaryota; Viridiplantae; Streptophyta; Magnoliopsida; Poales; Poaceae
Description: long non-coding RNA (SVIR_LNC006357)
Source: RNAcentral